GCGGUUGUGGUGGAAUUGGCAGACACGCUAUCUUGAGGGGGUAGUGCCCACCGGGUGUAUGGGUUCGAGUCCCAUCAACCGCACCA
Molecule: transfer RNA, 86 nt
Filed under: Paenibacillus phyllosphaerae
Lineage: Bacteria; Bacillati; Bacillota; Bacilli; Caryophanales; Paenibacillaceae
Also listed under: 1 other name
Description: tRNA-Leu
Rfam family: tRNA
About the family: Transfer RNA (tRNA) molecules are approximately 80 nucleotides in length. Their secondary structure includes four short double-helical elements and three loops (D, anti-codon, and T loops). Further hydrogen bonds mediate the characteristic L-shaped molecular structure. tRNAs have two regions of fundamental functional importance: the anti-codon, which is responsible for specific mRNA codon recognition, and the 3' end, to which the tRNAs corresponding amino acid is attached (by aminoacyl-tRNA synthetases). tRNAs cope with the degeneracy of the genetic code in two manners: having more than one tRNA (with a specific anti-codon) for a particular amino acid; and 'wobble' base-pairing, i.e. permitting non-standard base-pairing at the 3rd anti-codon position.
Source: RNAcentral